GACGAACGCUGGCGGCGUGCUUAACACAUGCAAGUCGAACGGAAAGGCCCUGCUUUUGUGGGGUGCUCGAGUGGCGAACGGGUGAGUAACACGUGAGUAACCUGCCCUUGACUUUGGGAUAACUUCAGGAAACUGGGGCUAAUACCGGAUAGGAGCUCCUGCUGCAUGGUGGGGGUUGGAAAGUUUCGGCGGUUGGGGAUGGACUCGCGGCUUAUCAGCUUGUUGGUGGGGUAGUGGCUUACCAAGGCUUUGACGGGUAGCCGGCCUGGGAGGGUGACCGGCCACCUUGGGACUGAGAUACGGCCCAGACUCCUACGGGAGGCAGCAGUGGGGAAUAUUGCACAAUGGGCGGAAGCCUGAUGCAGCAACGCCGCGUGCGGGAUGACGGCCUUCGGGUUGUAAACCGAUUUCGCCUGUGACGAAGCGUGAGUGACGGUAAUGGGUAAAGAAGCACCGGCUAACUACGUG
RNAcentral lists this ribosomal RNA (468 nucleotides) under uncultured bacterium. RNAcentral's name for it is "partial 16S ribosomal RNA". It matches the Rfam family "Bacterial small subunit ribosomal RNA", at positions 28 to 507 of the family's 1533-position model. The record is from RNAcentral.